RNAcentral lists this long non-coding RNA (816 nucleotides) under Cricetulus griseus (Chinese hamster). RNAcentral's name for it is "lncRNA (ENSCGRG00015030255.1)". Lineage: Eukaryota; Metazoa; Chordata; Mammalia; Rodentia; Cricetidae. The record is from RNAcentral.
UGUUGGUCCGGACGGAUACCGAAGUCUGGAGUUUGUUUUUCUCCGGACUUUUGUGACUUCGGGAGGUGAAACCUCCUGAGAAACUGGGAGUUCUCGGUUUAGACGGAAGUGAGGAGGGUGUGAGAACAGCUGGACUCGGCUUCCGGUCAGCGGAGCUCCCGCCCCUGGUCACCCUCUUCCGGCCUCCCGGUGAUGUAGGAAGCACGGUCCAAGAGAGCACCUUGGAAAAGAGAAGCCCGUGUACUCAAGCCACUGAAUAAUCAGCUUGCUUUUUCCCAGGCAUGGCAACUUUUGCUCCUUUUGUAAUGCAUCCCGACAAAGUUGCAGUUUGGUGAAAUACACAGACCACUCGUUUUCCUUAUAGCAGUGUUCGUUAAAAUUGACUUCUCAGGCUUUUUCAGCGUAACCAAGAGAUGACUAACACAUUUGCUUGUUACCAUCUUGAGAUACCUAGGGGGAUGAAAGGGUCACUUAAAAAAGUGCGGCUCCCAAACGGACUGGAUCCCAAAGUGUGAUGGCUAAGCACCCACAGCUGGCUCAUGGGCUGUUUGGUGGCACUGUUUGGGACAAUUAUGGAAUCCUUAAGUGGUGGAGCCUUGCUAGAGGAAGUGUGCCACUGGGAGCAGGCUUGGAGAUUGCAUAGCCUGGCUCCAUUUUCCCUAUGCCCUGCCCCACCUUUCUUUUCUUCCUGUGGCUGAGAUGUAUCUUUUCUGCUUCCUGACUUCCAGAAUUGCCUGUUUGAAUCAGAUGUUUUGCUUUCAUGGCUCCCUGCAUGUCCCUUGAACUCUAAGCUAAAAUAAACUAUUUUCUUUGCUG